UACGGAGGGUGCAAGCGUUAUCCGGAUUUACUGGGUUUAAAGGGUGCGCAGGCGGCAAAGUAAGUCAGUGGUGAAAGCCCGGAGCUCAACUCCGGAACUGCCAUUGAUACUGCUUAGCUUGAGUACGGUUGAAGUGGGCGGAAUGUGACAUGUAGCGGUGAAAUGCUUAGAUAUGUCACAGAACACCAAUUGCGAAGGCAGCUCGCUAAACCGUCACUGACGCUGAGGCACGAAAGCGUGGGUAGCGAACAGG
RNAcentral lists this ribosomal RNA (253 nucleotides) under uncultured bacterium. RNAcentral describes it as "partial 16S ribosomal RNA". It matches the Rfam family "Bacterial small subunit ribosomal RNA", at positions 524 to 776 of the family's 1533-position model. The record is from RNAcentral.